RNAcentral lists this ribosomal RNA (156 nucleotides) under Triticum aestivum (bread wheat). RNAcentral describes it as "rRNA 5_8S_rRNA". It matches the Rfam family "5.8S ribosomal RNA". Rfam says of the family: 5.8S ribosomal RNA (5.8S rRNA) is a component of the large subunit of the eukaryotic ribosome. It is transcribed by RNA polymerase I as part of the 45S precursor that also contains 18S and 28S rRNA. The record is from RNAcentral. Lineage: Eukaryota; Viridiplantae; Streptophyta; Magnoliopsida; Poales; Poaceae.
GACUCUCGGCAACGGAUAUCUCGGCUCUCGCAUCGAUGAAGAACGUAGCGAAAUGCGAUACCUGGUGUGAAUUGAAGAAUCCCGCGAACCAUCGAGUCUUUGAACGCAAGUUGCGCCCGAGGCCACUCGGCCGAGGGCACGCCUGCCUGGGCGUCA